This 319-nucleotide small nuclear RNA is filed under the name Chaetura pelagica (chimney swift). RNAcentral describes it as "7SK RNA". It matches the Rfam family "7SK RNA", at positions 41 to 331 of the family's 331-position model. From Rfam's summary of the family: 7SK was discovered as an abundant small nuclear RNA in the mid-70s but a possible function has only recently been suggested. The record is from Rfam by way of RNAcentral. Lineage: Eukaryota; Metazoa; Chordata; Aves; Apodiformes; Apodidae.
UGAUCGGCAUUUUAUAGAACUAUAAAAUUCUAUAUGGUCAGGGUUGGGUCAGCUGAUCUGGUUGGCUUAGGCAGGUGUCCACUUCCUCCCUCAUGGCUCCAUGUGUGUCCCUGCCGAAGAUACACACCUGGUUUUAGCGGGCAACCUUCCCUGAUAGAGAUGUACCAUUCAUUGGUCAAGGGUAUACAGUAGCUGCACUCCCUGCUAGAACCUCUAAACAAGUUCAAGGUCCAUUUGUAGGAGAACAUAGGGUAGUCAAGCUUCCAAGACUGCAGACACAUCCAAGUGAGGCACUGCAUGGGGCGGUCGGCAAUUCUAU